This 450-nucleotide ribosomal RNA is filed under the name uncultured bacterium. RNAcentral describes it as "partial 16S ribosomal RNA". It matches the Rfam family "Bacterial small subunit ribosomal RNA", at positions 338 to 795 of the family's 1533-position model. The record is from RNAcentral.
CCUACGGGUGGCUGCAGUGGGGAAUUUUCCACAAUGGGCGAAAGCCUGAUGGAGCAACGCCGCGUGUGUGAUGAAGGUCUUCGGAUCGUAAAGCACUUUCGACCGGGACGAAAAACCUCUGGCUAACAUCCAGGGGCCUGACGGUACCGGGAGAAGAAGCACCGGCUAACUCUGUGCCAGCAGCCGCGGUAAUACAGAGGGUGCAAGCGUUGUUCGGAAUCGUUGGGAGUAGGGUUGGUGUAGGAGAUUUGAAAGCCCAUGGCUUAACCAUGGAAGUGCGUCUGAAACUGCCGAGCUUGAGUGCCGGAGAGGAUGGCGGAAUUCCGCAAGUAGAGGUGAAAUUCGUAGAUAUGCGGAGGAACACCGGUGGCGAAGGCGGCCAUCUGGACGGUAACUGACGCUGAGACGCGAAAGCGUGGGGAGCAAACAGGAUUAGAUACCCCAGUAGUC